GAUGAAGAACGCAGCGAAAUGCGAUAAGUAGUGUGAAUUGCAGAAUUCAGUGAAUCAUCGAAUCUUUGAACGCACAUUGCGCCCCUUGGUAUCCCGAGGGGCAUGCCUGUUCGAGCGUCAUUUCACCACUCAAGCCUGGCUUGGUGUUGGGCGACGUCCCCUUUAGGGACGCGCCUCGAAACGCUCGGCGGCGUGGCACCGGCUUUAAGCGUAGCAGAAUCUUUCGCUUUGGAAGUCGGGGCCCCGCCUGCCGGAAUACCUACUCGUAAUGUUGACCUCGGAUCAGGCAGGGAUACCCGCUGAACUUAAGCAUAUCAAUAAGCGGAGGA
RNAcentral lists this unclassified non-coding RNA (329 nucleotides) under soil metagenome. Its description in RNAcentral is "partial contains 5.8S ribosomal RNA, internal transcribed spacer 2, and large subunit ribosomal RNA". The stretch from base 1 to 120 matches the Rfam family "5.8S ribosomal RNA", at positions 35 to 154 of the family's 154-position model. The record is from RNAcentral.